GACGAACGCUGGCGGCGUGCUUAACACAUGCAAGUCGAACGGACAGGCCCUGCUUUUGCGGGUUGCUCGAGUGGCGAACGGGGGAGUAAAACGUGAGUAACAUGCCCUUGACUUAGGGAUAUAUCCAGGAAAAUGGGGCUCAUACCGGAUAGGAGCUCUUGCUGCAUGGUGGGGGUUGGAAAGUUUCGGCGGUUGGGGAUGGACUCGAGGCUUAUCAGCUUGUUGGUGGGGUAGUGGCUUACCAAGGUUUUGACGGGUAGCCGGCCUGAGAGGGUGACCAGCCACAUUGGGACUGAGAUACGGCCCAGACUCCUACGGGAGGCAGCAGGGGGGAAUAUUGCACAAUGGGCGGAAGCCUGAUGCAGCAACGCCGCGUGCGGGAUGACGGCUUUCGGGGUGUAAACCGCUUUCGCCUGUGACGAAGCGUGAGUGACGGUAAUGGGUAAAGAAGCACCGGCUAACUACGUG
RNAcentral lists this ribosomal RNA (468 nucleotides) under uncultured bacterium. RNAcentral describes it as "partial 16S ribosomal RNA". It matches the Rfam family "Bacterial small subunit ribosomal RNA", at positions 28 to 507 of the family's 1533-position model. The record is from RNAcentral.